RNAcentral lists this ribosomal RNA (1510 nucleotides) under uncultured prokaryote. Its description in RNAcentral is "partial 16S ribosomal RNA". It matches the Rfam family "Bacterial small subunit ribosomal RNA". The record is from RNAcentral.
AGAGUUUGAUCCUGGCUCAGGAUGAACGCUAGCGGCAGGCCUAAUACAUGCAAGUCGAACGGUAAGGCUCCUUCGGGAGUACACGAGUGGCGCACGGGUGCGUAACGCGUAUGCAACCUACCCUUUAGUGGGGGAUAGCCUGAAGAAAUUCAGAUUAAUACCCCAUAUUAUUCAGUCAUUGCAUAUUGAUUGGAUGAAAACUCCGGUGCUAAGGGAUGGGCAUGCGUGACAUUAGCUAGUUGGUGAGGUAAAGGCUCACCAAGGCUACGAUGUCUAGCUGGUCUGAGAGGAUGAUCAGCCACACUGGCACUGAGACACGGGCCAGACUCCUACGGGAGGCAGCAGUAGGGAAUAUUGGACAAUGGGCGCAAGCCUGAUCCAGCCAUGCCGCGUGGAGGAAGACGGUCCUCUGGAUUGUAAACUUCUUUUCUGAAGGAAUAAACCUGUUCUAUAUGAACAGCUGAAGGUACUUCAGGAAUAAGCACCGGCUAACUCCGUGCCAGCAGCCGCGGUAAUACGGAGGGUGCAAGCGUUGUCCGGAUUUAUUGGGUUUAAAGGGUGCGUAGGCGGAUAUUUAAGUCAGUGGUGAAAUUUUGCGGCUCAACCGUAACACUGCCAUUGAUACUGGAUAUCUUGAGUAUGUUUGAGGUGGUUGGAAUGCGUAGUGUAGCGGUGAAAUGCAUAGAUAUUACGCAGAACACCGAUUGCGAAGGCAGAUCACUAAGACAUAACUGACGCUGAUGCACGAAAGCGUGGGGAGCGAACAGGAUUAGAUACCCUGGUAGUCCACGCCGUAAACGAUGGAUACUAGGUGUUCGGCCUAUAUGGUUGAGUGCCUAAGCGAAAGCGAUAAGUAUCCCACCUGGGGAGUACGUCCGCAAGGAUGAAACUCAAAGGAAUUGACGGGGGCCCGCACAAGCGGUGGAGCAUGUGGUUUAAUUCGAUGAUACGCGAGGAACCUUACCUGGACUAGAAUGCCCUUGACAGCCUGUGAAAGCAGGUUUUCCUUCGGGACAAGGUGCAAGGUGCUGCAUGGUUGUCGUCAGCUCGUGCCGUGAGGUGUUGGGUUAAGUCCCGCAACGAGCGCAACCCCUAUCUUUAGUUACCAGCGAGUUAAGUCGGGGACUCUAAAGAGACUGCCUGCGCAAGCAGUGAGGAAGGUGGGGACGACGUCAAAUCAUCAUGGCCCUUACGUCCAGGGCUACACACGUGCUACAAUGGAUGGUACAACGGGUUGCGAACCUGCGAAGGUAAGCUAAUCUCUAAAAGCCAUUCUCAGUUCGGAUUGGAGUCUGCAACUCGACUCCAUGAAGCCGGAAUCGCUAGUAAUCGCGUAUCAGCUACGACGCGGUGAAUACGUUCCCGGGCCUUGUACACACCGCCCGUCAAGCCAUGGAAGCCGGGGGUACCUGACGUCAGAGCUUAUACCUCUGCCUAGGGUGAAACUGGUAACUAGGGCUAAGUCGUAACAAGGUAGCCGUACCGGAAGGUGCGGCUGGAUCACCUCCUU